AGCUUUGUGCAGUGGCAAUAUUGCAGCCAAUAAGGUUUAUCCGAGGUGCAAUUAUUGCUAAUCAAAGGGCCAAAUUAGCCAAGAUUAUUGCUAGUCUUCACCAAACAAGUUAUUCCAAGCUCCCAAAGU
Nomascus leucogenys (northern white-cheeked gibbon) is the source of this 129-nucleotide small nuclear RNA. Its record names the gene U4. It matches the Rfam family "U4 spliceosomal RNA". From Rfam's summary of the family: U4 small nuclear RNA (U4 snRNA) is a component of the major U2-dependent spliceosome. The structure of U4 snRNA from yeast and human has been reported. NCBI's taxonomy places the organism in Eukaryota, Metazoa, Chordata, Mammalia, Primates, Hylobatidae. The record is from Ensembl.